UCCGUCGCGGGCGCAGGAAAUUUGAGAGGAGCUGUCCUUAGUACGAGAGGACCGGGAUGGACGCACCGCUGGUGUACCAGUUGUCUUGCCAAAGGCAUAGCUGGGUAGCUACGUGCGGACGGGAUAAGUGCUGAAAGCAUCUAAGCAUGAAGCCCCCCUCAAGAUGAGAUUUCCCAUGGCGCAAGCUAGUAAGAUCCCUGAAAGAUGAUCAGGUUGAUAGGUCAGAGGUGGAAGCGUGGCGACAUGUGGAGCUGACUGAUACUAAUAGAUCGAGGACUUAACCAAC
This 286-nucleotide ribosomal RNA is filed under the name Bacillus sp. BA3. Its description in RNAcentral is "partial 23S ribosomal RNA". It matches the Rfam family "Bacterial large subunit ribosomal RNA", at positions 2641 to 2925 of the family's 2925-position model. The record is from RNAcentral. Lineage: Bacteria; Bacillati; Bacillota; Bacilli; Caryophanales; Bacillaceae.